Non-coding RNA from Neofelis nebulosa (Clouded leopard), 381 nucleotides. NCBI's taxonomy places the organism in Eukaryota, Metazoa, Chordata, Mammalia, Carnivora, Felidae. The record is from the annotation of a RefSeq genome assembly.
AUGGCCUGGGUCUCUGUCUUCCUCAUCGUACUUGCUCACUGCACAGGGUCCUGGGCCCAGUCUGUGCUGACUCAGCCAUCUUCAGUGUCUGGGUCCCUGGGCCAGACGCUCACCAUUUCCUGCACUGGAAGCCCAGCCAACACUGGGGCCGGUUAUUGUGUGUUUUGGUACCAACAGCUCCCAGGAAUGACCCUUAAAGCCAUUCUCCAUGAGAACACUUGGCCUUCGGGGGUCCCAGACCGGUUCUCUGGCUCCAAGUCUGGCAACACAGGCUCCUUGACCAUCCCUGGGCUCCAGGUGGACGACGAGGCUGAUGAUCACGGCUCAGCGUGGGACAAGAAACUCAUUGCUUAUGCAGUGCCCAGUCCUUUGGGGAAGUGA